RNAcentral lists this ribosomal RNA (490 nucleotides) under uncultured bacterium. RNAcentral describes it as "partial 16S ribosomal RNA". It matches the Rfam family "Bacterial small subunit ribosomal RNA", at positions 28 to 507 of the family's 1533-position model. The record is from RNAcentral.
GAUGAACGCUAGCUACAGGCUUAACACAUGCAAGUCGAGGGGCAGCGGGCUUGUAGCUUGCUUCACUUGCCGGCCACCGGCGCACGGGUGAGUAACGCGUAUCCACCCUUCCGUACACUCAGGGAUAGCCUUUCGAAAGAAAGAUUAAUACCUGAUGGUAUGAUGAGAUUGCAUGAUAUCAUCAUUCAAGAUUUAUCGGUGUACGAUGGGGAUGCGUUCCAUUAGGUAGUAGGCGGGGUAACGGCCCACCUGGCCAACGAUGGAUAGGGGUUCUGAGGGGAGGCGCCCCCAGAUGGGGACCGGGACACUGUGCAAACUGCUACGGGAGGCAGCAGUGAGGAAGAUUGGUCAAGGGACGAGUGUCUGAACCAGCCAAGUAGCGUGAAGGAAGGAGGUCUGACGGAUGGUAAACUUCUUUUAGAAGGGAGCUAACCCUCCCACGUGUGCGAGCGUGUCUGUACCGUAUGAAUAAGCAUCGGCUAACUCCGUG